CAAUGCGUUUUGGACGAAACAGAGCGUUACAUCUACAACGCAAACGCUCUUGAUGGAUCGCUUAUAUUCAACUCUGUCUAUGAAGUGAUCAAAGUGUCCUUAAGUGAUGGCACGUUUCGAAACCCUGAUGAGGUACCCACCUAUCAGCUGGACAAGUUAAAGAAAGAAGCUUAUAGAGACCUUACCCUCUUAAAGACCUUUGUGGAACAUCCACAAAGAUCCUUGCAAUGCACGCCAAAUCCCGGAUAUGGCAUCGCAUGUCCUGAGUUGCAGCACAACAACUUUCAAGGUAUACAAGUUUAUCAUGGUCGCGCUCUAGGUCUUUUGAUAUGUAUAUCCUAUUACAGACUUGCUAAAUUAUUAGAUUAGAAUAUGAAUAAAACAUGUUUAUUCGAGUCGGGCUCUAAGUCUUUUGAUAUGUAUAUAUCCUAUUAUAGACUUGCUAAAUUAUUAGAAAGUAUCUUAGGAUAGGAAUAAAACAUGUUAAUUCUGGUCGCGCUCUAGGUAUUUUGAUAUGUAUAUCUUAUUAUAGACUUGCUAAAUUAUUAUAAAAAAAUAUCUUAUGAUAUCACUAAAAGAUGUUUAUUAUGGUACUCUAAGGUCUUUUGAUAUGUGUAUCUUAUAAUAGACGUGCUAAAUUAUUAUUCAAUGUUCUUUUUAAUGUUUAGGAACUUUGGAUCCAUCAGGCUCUAUGAGUUCUCUUUACUUCACAGCUGCAAACUCUACCAUCCAACCAGAGAGUUUUGAGAACUCACCAGACAUGACGUUUCAUAUCGACCGGAAUUUAUUACAGAGAAACAGCUUCAGGAUAAGUGAACACGACCACGAUGCACAAACUUUAGCCACGAGAGGGUAUAUCGAGAACGAAGAGGACGAUCAUGAGAAUACUUUUACUUAUCAUCAGGGCAUGUCCUCGAACUUGUCAACUGGUGCGGCGGAUUGGGAGCAACAAAUGUAUAAUAGUUUGUCUGUUAGCGUGUUUGGCACGGAAGAAGCUGGAACGUAUAAUGUUCGUUUUACAAACACUGCGGGGUCUCCAAGAGCCAGGUGGUGCAAGAUUAAGGCAGCUUUCAAAAUUCGAGAAGUCUGGAAACAGGCAGCUGCCAGAAACCGAGGGAAGGCUUGCCUAGCGUACUAGAUUCAGUAGUUUCGAUUCUUACGGUGCACGAAAGAUGCAGCAUAUAUAUUGCGUGUGUGUGUGUUUUUUUUUCUGGCUAAUGGCUGUUCCAAAUGGCUUUUAUCCCAGCUCAUGUUUGAUAUAUCUUUCAGAUAUAAAAGGCUAUACAUACAUAACGAAUAAGUUUACAUGUUUAUAUUUUGUUAUUUGUUUUUCCAUCAGUUGUAAUGCUUUUAUAGGAAAGGGCUUGUAAAAGUUGUAGCCUUUACAUGCUGUAUUUGAUUCAAUGGUUUCUUGUAAUGCACGAAAGCUAUUUAUAGGCAGAUUAUUUAUGUUUUUCCCCUCUUUGCCUAUACCCACAUUUUUUUAAGAAAAUAUAAGCGAUAAUUAUUUUGACAAAACCUGUUUACAUUUUUCCUAAAUUUGUAGUUGACUUGUUUUAUGCCUACAUCAAAUUGGCGUUCUAAGAAUGUUUGAAAAUAUCCACCCACAAGGCAACAGUGUUUAAAAUUAGAAUCAUUGUCCUUUGGAUAUGCCAAAAAGGUAUGUAACCUUCCAUCUAUUUUACGUUUUAUAUAAGACUCUACUCAAACAAGUAUAAAAAUAAACAGCAUCAGAAUAUAUACUAAAUCAACCAAUUAUAUGAUCUUUUAUAACAUAAUCAACUUUCAAAUCAAACCUCCACUUAUUUAUCUAAAUAAAAAGUUGAUUUCUCUUGGCUAGAACUUAUUAUAAGAUAAUCUUUUGGGUUUGGACAGACUAUUGUAUUGCCUUUUGUUUCCCUUUAUAAUAUUUUUGGCUUAAGAAGACUAUUGGCUUCCUAAUCACAAAAGUCUAAAAUCAAUUGAAAACAUUGGUGGCUCUUUUGCUUCAUUACUUUUUCUAUGUCCUUGUCUUCAUGUGAACACAUUUGCAUAAUCUGUGGUUUCUUCUACUUUCUGUUCUAACACACACACACACUCAUAAUUAUUAAAAACAAUCCCACAGAUCCUGAUCGUGCGUACACCACUUGGCUUUUCACCCAUGACCCGACAAUGAUUUGGCAAAUGUUUUGUUUUGUGUCAUCAAUCUACCAGAAAUCCAUAAUCAUUAUUGAUCAAAAGAGCAGCCAAGUGCAUUUUUGUCUUCUUACCACAGUCACCCUAGUAUGAAAGAGUUUUUAAGGAGAUCUUCAAGCCUUUCUUGAUGACUAACACAAACCAGAAAAGAAAAGCAAUCUUCCCACAGCUUCUCCAUAUCAUUCCUCUAGGGUUCAUUAUAGUGAUCAAACCCUUCCCCCACAAAGGUUGGUUCUUUGAUUUAAUUGAUCCAUUAGAGAGCUAUGGUCUUGUUCAUUGUCUUAACCUGUCAAUGUUGCUCUUCUAAAUUUAACUAGGGAAAUGGAAGGAGAGAAGGAGACAGUAAGGUGUUGCAGUGAUUGCAAGACCACCAAGACACCAAUGUGGAGAGGUGGACCAUCUGGUCCCAAGGUCUCUUCUUCUACCUUCACUAUACUUAUAACUUUAUUUGAUAUUUAAGCAAAAAAAUGGAUAAUUCAAGAAGUAUAUAUACUUAAGUUUUUUUUAAUGGAAUUCACAGUCUCUUUGCAAUGCAUGUGGGAUAAGAUUCAUGAGACAGAGACGAACCAAGUUAUUGGGUAUUCGUGUUAUUCGUAGCCACAAAGUCUACAAGAAGAUAAACACAUCGUUAUUGUCAUCACAUGGUAGCGUGGCUUUGAAGAAACGAAGGCGGAGUCUAAAGGAGGAAGAACAAGCUGCUCUGUGUCUACUAUUAUUGUCUUGUCGCUCUGUUUUCGCCUGAGAGAAAAAAAAAACAGAGAGUAUCCCGCUGAAAAGACAGUUUUGUCCUUUAUAUUUUGUAAUAAAAUUCAAAGUCUGAUUAACAAUGGGUCUUAGUGGUUACUCCACAACGAUGUGUGUCUCAAUCUCGCAAGUCUCAACAGUUAAACUAAAAGGCUCAUUAUCAGCUCUACGGGGAUAAACUACAAGGGAUGGUAAAACUGGCGCAAGGCGUGUACUUGUCUUUUUACUUGAUAUUUGGCUUGGCUUAAACGAAUAAUAAAUUUUUGGACUUAUAUUUGACUUGUCAAAAAUAAGUACUUGUCCAAAAAUAUGUUACUUGCAAGUUACUUGUCUUGUUCGAUUAUUUGUUAGUUACAAAUAUUUAUUAAUUAUUUGGAUAUAUUUUUAAGUUUCUAAGAAUUAUUGAUAGAUAAUAUUCUAUGAGAAAAGGUUAUGAAAGUUUUUUUAUAUUUGCAGAAGAAAGUAAGUUUGGGUAAAAUAUUUGGAUCUGAAGAAUCGAGCUGAACUUGAUUUGAAAGUAAUAACUAUACACAAACUAAAACUGAUUAAGUACUCAAAUGGAUCUAAAAGUUUAAUAUCUGGAUAACCAGACCAGAAUCCGAUCCAAACUGAAAUAUUUUGGAUACCGAAAAUAUCUAAAACACAAUUAUAUACUUAAAUAUAUUAGUUAUUUUAAAUUUUAUAUCUAUUAGAUAUUAAUUAAUAUGAAAAUAUCUAAAAUCAAAAAUUUGUUCAAAAUACUGAAGUAUAUUUUUUUCUCUAUCUAAAUAUUUAAAUUGAACUAUUUUUAUGUAAACUUUUAUAUUGUUUUUAUUUUUGGAUGUUGAGGAUUGAGUAUAUUUAGAUUUUUGUUUAAAAUUACAUAAUUAAAAUAGGUACUCAAACUCGAAUCUGAACCAAACAUGCAAUGAUUCGAACCAAAUCCAAUCCAAAUUCAAACCAAAUUCAAUUCAAAUUCAAACCAAAAUUUGUAAAUAUCUGAAUCAUAUUAAAAUUUCUUACUCUAAAAAUAAAAAUUCGAAUAGAUCAACUGAAUCCAAACGGAUAUCUGAAUGUCCAUCCUUUGAAAAAGCUAAAUGACAAAUCUCUUAUUACAUCGUAAAAUAAAUAAUCUAAUCAAUUAUUUUAUUCCGCGCACGGUACGAAUUAUUACCGAGUAUAUAUAUAUAGUGAUGAAAGAACAUGAAGAAGAGAGUUGAUGGGGUAGCUAUUGUGUCCAUCUCCUCAUACUUAAAAUACUCACAAAAGGGUAUUUACUACUAUCCUCCUCAUCGCCUUUAUUCAUCUCAUAUUCACUCUUCCCAUCACACCUGCAUGGAUCGCAUGUAUAGACACAUACAUAGAUAAAUGCAUAAUCUAUGUCAAAUUAGCAUAUACAAUCAUGUAUCGUGAAGAUGAAUUGGUGAGAAGAACCUUGAGGAAGAAAUCGAACGGGUGAAUCUUGAACUCAUUUCGCGCACUGUUUGAAGAAAAUUAUUGAAAAAUAAGAACUAUAACAAUAUGAUAUGUUUUUUGAGGGAGGCUACCCUCAAUCAAUUUAUAUAUUGGAUGUGGCGGACAUGUCGUCUUCAAUGUGAAAUAGACCAAGUUGGUUCAACACAAAAUCCUAUCCAAAUCUCUAGAGAUUUCUGAGAAUGAUUGCUAUAGAAGAUGAAUAUAUACCUACUGAUGGUAUUAUUAGAUUAUACAGAUCCAUUGUAUUAUUAGAUAAUACAGAUCCUAAACUUAUAUAUACAUAUAUUUGAAGUGAACUUGUGUUAGUAUGUACAGAUCAGAUAUCCGAUAAAAAAAUAUUAGAAUAUUCGUAAAAGUGCAGAUUGAAUCAAAUCGAAAAGUUAGUUAUUCGUCUGGCGCGGAGCAUAUCACUGGUAUCUCUAAAUAUUAUUGGUACAAAAUAUUAUUUUUAAUUAGAAUUUCCGAAAAUUUAAGUCUGGAGAUUUUGGCGUAACAAAAUGGGUAAUUUUUUUUUAUUUUGUUAUGGAUUUUUGUUGGUGAUUUAUAUUGAUUUAGGCCGGGCACAUCGCACGGGUUACAAAAUAAAAUUUAUUUCCGAAUCAGCGAAACGACUAGACUGACAGACGUUUUGUUCUUGCAGCUAGCAUGCUGCGACACAUGAUGUGCAUAUUUUUCAAACAAUGUAGCGAUAUUAAUGGCAUCUCCAAAGUGAGCUACAAGCAUUGUUUCAGUCACUGCUCUGAUGCAAUUAGCUUCUUUUUCCCCUGCUUUUGCUCUAUCUGAUUGCAAGCCAUAUUCUUCGUUACUAAGACCGAGAUCAAAUAUAUGUGUCUCCAAGUCGUUUACCAUGAAUGAACCCUCAUUUCUAAUUAGUUCUUUCACUUCGUCUCCGUUAGGAUCAUAAAACGGCACCUUGAACGAACUCACCUUUGAUGCACUCACAAGACCCUAUACAUAGAUCAUGAUUAACCAUCCGUGUACAUUAAAAUAUCAACAAAAUGUAAAUAUCUAAUGAUUUUUUACCUCGAAGACUAGGUCACGCAGAGAAUCGGAUAACAAUGUCAACCAAUGACAACAAUCCCUGUAUAGUGGAUCAUCAAGAGUUUUCCUGCCGAUUAAUGUGAGAACCAUGCGUCCAUUAGAUACCAUUUCUUCGGAACGCAUUCUUAGAAAUGUCGUAAAAUCUUUCUGGAACUGAUUCAGGUAAGCCUUGUGUUCACUUGGAAGACUUGAACCUGUUAUGUACACACUCAUCUUGUUCUUCUCAAGUCCGUCGGGAACCUUACAAGCCAACAAAUUCAUUGUCAUAAGCUUUGUACUUAUGAAGCAGUUAAUAAAUUAUUAUUAGUGGUACUAAGUGCUGAUGAUACCUUAGAGAGGUAAUGAAGACUGUAGUUUGAAUGAACGAAAUGGAGACUCUUGCGAGGAAAAAGCCUUGAGUAAAAGGAACCAGGUACUCCAGAGACAAAGCAUGGUAUUUUGCUUGUGAGCUUAUCGUUGAAGAAGGUUAGGAACUUGAAUGUCAUGUUGAAAUCAUUACCAGAGAGAUCGUUCAGACAACAAUCUAUCUCUGGAGGGUUUUUGUUGCUUUCUUCACAUAACGCAAUGAUUGUGUUAACGAUAUCAGACAUGACCGUGAACGUGUUCUGUCCUGAAGAACAGCCCAAAUCGGCUAGUUUAAGGCAUUUAGGAAAGUCCAAGUUUUUCAUCAUUUCUUUAGUGUUUUUAACCAGGAUGGGCUUGGUCAUUGAUAAAACUCUUCUCUGCAUAAAACAAGGAAAGACGCAAAUUACUUAGCAAAUGUGUGUGUUUUUUAACCACGAACGCAUCUAGGCCAGGGUCCAACUAAUUCAUCACGUGGAACAACACCGACGACUACUUCAGCUUUGGAUUUUUUUUAAUGAAGACUAAGACUUGAUCCUAUGUUUGUCUAGUUAAGCAGUAGCAAUUUAGUUCAUGGUAGGAUUCGAACCCAUGACAAGGUUGAGUAUAGAAUAUAAUAUAUAAAUAUGUAAUGAUACAUUAGUUUGUGUAAGCAUGUCCUACAAAAAAAAGAAAAGAAAAAGAAAUAUAUAGAAGACGAAAGAACCUGAAGAAGAGAGUUGGUGGAGUAGCUAUUGUGUCCAUCUCCCGAACAUGAUCGUAUGUUGUUGAAACUUGCAAACAUGUGCUUAGUUAUAUAUAUAUAUAUAUAUAUGAUAUAUGUAAAGUAGUGAUUAAUUAUCUUUUCUUUUAUGAUUAUAGGUCGGAGAGGCGCUUGAUCAUCGUCUUAGUCAACGACCUUAUCUCUUUUCGUCGUGGUCCCAAACCGAACGCUCACGUUCGGAAACGCCGUCGUCGCGUUCAUGUCUCAAGCUGCGAUUCAUAAACUCGCCGCCGUCUCCCAUAUUCAUGGGAGCCAAGAUCGAAACCAAGGACGGUUCUCCUGUAGCGAUCGAGCUCGUGGACGCAGCCACGAACGCUCGAGUCGUUUCGGGACCGCUCUCAUCUUCUCGUGUGGAGAUCGUGCCGCUUAAAGCUCACUUCACGGAGGAAAGCUGGACCGUUGACGAGUUCAAACGCUAUAUUGAGAAGCAGCGUGAAGGCAAACCUCCGUUACUCACCGGAGAUGUAACUGUCACGCUUGAAAACGGAGUCGGAGUGAUAGCCGGAGACGUCGCGUUCUCGGAUAACUCGAGUUGGACUUGGAGUAGGAUGUUCCGGUUAGGUGCUAGGUUAACCGGUGGUGAAGCCGUGGAGGCAAGGAGUGAAGCUUUUAACUGUAAAGACCAACGUGGAGAAUGUAAGUAUUACUGCGUUUGGUUAGGGUUGUAGACGCUGUUAGUGAGUUUAGGUUAAAUUAUCAACCGUUUUUAAUUGAGAAAUAACCGGUAAUAGUAAAGCACAUUUACCCAAAAAGACACACAAUUUUUUUUCUCAAAAUAACAUUAAUAAAAUAAAAUGAAAACAUUUUUUAUCUUGUAUUUUCAUUUGAGUUUUGUGAUUAGAGUUUUUGGUUUAGUAUUUAAGGGUGAAGAUAUAAUUAAUAAGAGUUUAAGAUUUGAAGUAAUUAAGUUAUUUAAUCCUUUAUUUAAUAUUGUUAUAGAGAUUUUGUUCUUUUAUGUUAUUUUGUCAUAAAUUAUUUUUAUGUUAUGGAAAUGAUUUAAAUUUUAAAAUUGUGGUUAUGUGCAGCUUAUAGAAAACAUUACCCUCCGUCUCCCAAUGACGAGGUUUGGAGACUGAAGAACAUAGCUAAAGGUGGCGUUUCGGCAAAGCGUUUGGCUGAGCAGGAGAUUUAUACCGUCAAGGAUUUACUCCGUUGGUAUGCCGUAUGUCCAAAUGAGUUAUACAACGUAAGAUUCUAAAUCUAAGUAAUUUUAAUAAAUCUUUAAAUUUUAAUGUAACUAAAUCGACUAAUCUAAAUUGUUAUUUUGAGCAGAUACUUGGUAGAGAGACAAAGUCAGGAAGGAUCUCAAAGAGAAAAUGGGAAGCAAUUGUAUCCCACGCCAUGCAAUGCGUUUUGGACGAAACAGAGCGUUACAUCUACAACGCAAACGCUCUUGAUGGAUCGCUUAUAUUCAACUCUGUCUAUGAAGUGAUCAAAGUGUCCUUAAGUGAUGGCACGUUUCGAAACCCUGAUGAGGUACCCACCUAUCAGCUGGACAAGUUAAAGAAAGAAGCUUAUAGAGACCUUACCCUCUUAAAGACCUUUGUGGAACAUCCACAAAGAUCCUUGCAAUGCACGCCAAAUCCCGGAUAUGGCAUCGCAUGUCCUGAGUUGCAGCACAACAACUUUCAAGGUAUACAAGUUUAUCAUGGUCGCGCUCUAGGUCUUUUGAUAUGUAUAUCCUAUUACAGACUUGCUAAAUUAUUAGAUUAGAAUAUGAAUAAAACAUGUUUAUUCGAGUCGG
RNAcentral lists this long non-coding RNA (8264 nucleotides) under Brassica napus (rape). RNAcentral's name for it is "long non-coding RNA (BNAP_LNC007300)". The record is from RNAcentral. Lineage: Eukaryota; Viridiplantae; Streptophyta; Magnoliopsida; Brassicales; Brassicaceae.